GGCAGUAUAGCCAAGUGGUAAGGCAAAGGUCUGCAAAACCUUGAACCCCAGUUCAAAUCUGGGUACUGCCUUCA
RNAcentral lists this transfer RNA (74 nucleotides) under Bacillus sp. AFS006103. Its description in RNAcentral is "tRNA-Cys". It matches the Rfam family "tRNA". Rfam says of the family: Transfer RNA (tRNA) molecules are approximately 80 nucleotides in length. Their secondary structure includes four short double-helical elements and three loops (D, anti-codon, and T loops). The record is from RNAcentral. Lineage: Bacteria; Bacillati; Bacillota; Bacilli; Caryophanales; Bacillaceae.